GCUGGUACGUCAUUAGCACGCUAUGUUAGAGCUCACCGUUUCUUUCCAGCUGAAAGAGCUUUACAACCCGAAGGCCUUCUUCACUCACGCGGAAUGGCUGGAUCAGGGUUGCCCCCAUUGUCCAAAAUUCCCCACUGCUGCCUCCCGUAGG
Molecule: ribosomal RNA, 151 nt
Filed under: uncultured bacterium
Lineage: Bacteria
Description: partial 16S ribosomal RNA
Source: RNAcentral